GAUGAACGCUGGCGGCGUGCCUAAUACAUGCAAGUCGAGCGAACGGACGAGAAGCUUGCUUCUCUGAUGUUAGCGGCGGACGGGUGAGUAACACGUGGAUAACCUACCUAUAAGACUGGGAUAACUUCGGGAAACCGGAGCUAAUACCGGAUAAUAUUUUGAACCGCAUGGUUCAAAAGUGAAAGACGGUCUUGCUGUCACUUAUAGAUGGAUCCGCGCUGCAUUAGCUAGUUGGUAAGGUAACGGCUUACCAAGGCAACGAUGCAUAGCCGACCUGAGAGGGUGAUCGGCCACACUGGAACUGAGACACGGUCCAGACUCCUACGGGAGGCAGCAGUAGGGAAUCUUCCGAAAUGGGCGAAAGCCUGACGGAGCAACGCCGCGUGAGUGAUGAAGGUCUUCGGAUCGUAAAACUCUGUUAUUAGGGAGGAACAUAUGUGUAAGUAACUGUGCACAUCUUGACGGUACCUAAUCAGAAAGCCACGGCUAACUACGUG
RNAcentral lists this ribosomal RNA (497 nucleotides) under uncultured bacterium. RNAcentral describes it as "partial 16S ribosomal RNA". It matches the Rfam family "Bacterial small subunit ribosomal RNA", at positions 28 to 507 of the family's 1533-position model. The record is from RNAcentral.